CAGUAGCCACGGUAACACGGAGGGGGCUAGCGUUGUUCGGAAUUACUGGGCGUAAAGCGCACGUAGGCGGCUUGGUAAGUUAGAGGUGAAAGCCCGGAGCUCAACUCCGGAAUUGCCUUUAAGACUGCCGAGCUAGUAGGUGAGAGAGGUAAGUGGAAUUCCGAGUGUAGAGGUGAAAUUCGUAGAUAUUCGGAAGAACACCAGUGGCGAAGGCGGCUUACUGGCUCAUUCUAGACGCUGAGGUGCGAAAGCGUGGGGAGCAAACAGGAUUAGAUACCCCCGUAGUCCCUGUCUCUUAUAC
This 301-nucleotide ribosomal RNA is filed under the name uncultured bacterium. RNAcentral describes it as "partial 16S ribosomal RNA". It matches the Rfam family "Bacterial small subunit ribosomal RNA", at positions 509 to 807 of the family's 1533-position model. The record is from RNAcentral.